GUUGAUCAAAUGUUAUUCAGGCAUUAUAAAAUUCCUGGGGAGGGCAGGACUAAUUCAUUUACUGAGCUAUCUGCCAUCAGAUCUAUGUCAAAAUUCCAUUUUCCAGUUGAGAUUCAUCAAGAAGAACGGCAAAAUCAAGUCAUCAACCAGCUAAAGAUGCUGAUCAUAUUGUUGCCGAGCCAAAUUUACAUAGGACGAAUUUUGGGCAGAGUAAUGCGAUGGAGCCAUGUGAGGUAAUUUAGUAAUAUGCAUAUACAGUUUUGAUUGAACAACAUUACUGAUGAUCAUAAGCAUUGGAAAAUCAUUAAUUUUUACAAAUAAUAUGAUGCCAUGUAGUUAAAAAUAAUGAAUUCUUAU
This is a long non-coding RNA of Dendrobium catenatum, 357 nucleotides long. RefSeq lists it as uncharacterized. The transcript is spliced from 2 exons. The record is from RefSeq and is a predicted model, not a curated record. Lineage: Eukaryota; Viridiplantae; Streptophyta; Magnoliopsida; Asparagales; Orchidaceae.